UACAGAGGGUGCAAGCGUUAAUCGGAAUUACUGGGCGUAAAGCGCGCGUAGGUGGUUUGUUAAGUUGGAUGUGAAAUCCCCGGGCUCAACCUGGGAACUGCAUUCAAAACUGGCAAGCUAGAGUAUGGUAGAGGGUGGUGGAAUUUCCUGUGUAGCGGUGAAAUGCGUAGAUAUAGGAAGGAACACCAGUGGCGAAGGCGACCACCUGGACUGAUACUGUCACUGAGGUGCGAAAGCGUGGGGAGCAAACAGG
Molecule: ribosomal RNA, 253 nt
Filed under: uncultured bacterium
Lineage: Bacteria
Description: partial 16S ribosomal RNA
Rfam family: Bacterial small subunit ribosomal RNA
Source: RNAcentral